This 497-nucleotide ribosomal RNA is filed under the name uncultured bacterium. RNAcentral's name for it is "partial 16S ribosomal RNA". It matches the Rfam family "Bacterial small subunit ribosomal RNA", at positions 28 to 507 of the family's 1533-position model. The record is from RNAcentral.
GAUGAACGCUGGCGGCGUGCCUAAUACAUGCAAGUCGAGCGAACAGACGAGGAGCUUGCUCCUCUGACGUUAGCGGCGGACGGGUGAGUAACACGUGGAUAACCUACCUAUAAGACUGGGAUAACUUCGGGAAACCGGAGCUAAUACCGGAUAAUAUAUUGAACCGCAUGGUCCAACAGCGAAAGACUGUUUUGCUGUCACUUAUAGAUGGAUCCGCGCCGCAUUAGCUAGUUGGUAAGGUAACGGCUUACCAAGGCAGCGAUGCGUAGCCGACCUGAGAGGGUGAUCAGCCACACGGGAACUGAGAAACGGUCCAGACUCCUACGCGAAGCCGCAGUAGAGAAUCUUCCGCAAUGGGCGAAUGCCUGACGGAGCAACGCCGGGUGAGUGAUGAAGGUGUUCGGAUGGUAGAACGCUGUUAUUAGGGGAGAACAAAAGUGUAAGUAACUAUGCCCAUCUUGACGGUACCGAAGCAAAAAGCCACGGCUAACUACGUG